CCCGCUGCCCCCAACCCGGAGCCUGAACCAAAGAUCAUACCAACGACCCCGAACCAAACAGGGAGCAUUGCUGCGAAAGGCGACAGCGAGAAGAACGGUUCCAAGGAUGCCGCCAAUGGCUUCGGCAACCUGCAGAGAGACGAGCCUGCUGUCGAAGAUAAGCGAACAGCCUCCGAGACAAAGAAAGAAGACGCGAGAGCGCCGCCUCCUUCCUCGUUACAUCCGACGCGGAGACAUGAUGAUAACAAAAUGAGGAUCAUAACAUUAGCAGGCAAGAAUGUGGGGGCUUACAUGGAGCUCGGGCCUUCUCUUGCGAGGAAAGUCGAAGCGAGUGCUUCUGGGAGCCACGGCGGAAAAGCUGUUGGUGAGAACUCGGCCAGCAAAAGCCCGAAGCCCUUAACCACCACGGUGAACAGCAAUGUGCAGAGCAUCAACAACU
Molecule: long non-coding RNA, 439 nt
Filed under: Ananas comosus (pineapple)
Lineage: Eukaryota; Viridiplantae; Streptophyta; Magnoliopsida; Poales; Bromeliaceae
Description: long non-coding RNA (ACOM_LNC026355)
Source: RNAcentral